GAUGAACGCUAGCGGCAGGCUUAACACAUGCAAGUCGAGGGGCAGCAUAAAUAGUAGCAAUACUAUCGGUGGCGACCGGCGGACGGGUGCGUAACGCGUAUACAACCUUCCCUAAACAGGGGGAUAAUCUGGAGAAAUUCGGUCUAAUACCCCAUAACAUCAGAGCAGGCAUCUGUUUUGGUUAAAAUUUCCGGAGGUUUAGGAUGGGUAUGCGUAGCAUUAGCUAGUUGGUGAGGUAACGGCUCACCAAGGCGACGAUGCUUAGGGGGACUGAGAGGUUAACCCCCCCACUGGAACUGAGACACGGACCAGACUCCUACGGGAGGCAGCAGUGAGGAAUAUUGGUCAAUGGGCGGAAGCCUGAACCAGCCAUGCCGCGUGCAGGAUGACGGCUCUAUGAGUUGUAAACUGCUUUUGUACGAGGGUAAAGUGGGCUACGUGUAGCCUUUUGAAUGUAUCGUACGAAUAAGGAUCGGCUAACUCCGUGCCAGCCGCCGCAGUAA
This 503-nucleotide ribosomal RNA is filed under the name uncultured bacterium. RNAcentral's name for it is "partial 16S ribosomal RNA". It matches the Rfam family "Bacterial small subunit ribosomal RNA", at positions 28 to 523 of the family's 1533-position model. The record is from RNAcentral.